This 587-nucleotide ribosomal RNA is filed under the name Trichoderma sp. INBio3686A. Its description in RNAcentral is "eukaryotic LSU rRNA". The stretch from base 201 to 354 matches the Rfam family "5.8S ribosomal RNA". The record is from RNAcentral. Lineage: Eukaryota; Fungi; Ascomycota; Sordariomycetes; Hypocreales; Hypocreaceae.
CUGCGGAGGGAUCAUUACCGAGUUUACAACUCCCAAACCCAAUGUGAACGUUACCAAACUGUUGCCUCGGCGGGGUCACGCCCCGGGUGCGUAAAAGCCCCGGAACCAGGCGCCCGCCGGAGGAACCAACCAAACUCUUUCUGUAGUCCCCUCGCGGACGUAUUUCUUACAGCUCUGAGCAAAAAUUCAAAAUGAAUCAAAACUUUCAACAACGGAUCUCUUGGUUCUGGCAUCGAUGAAGAACGCAGCGAAAUGCGAUAAGUAAUGUGAAUUGCAGAAUUCAGUGAAUCAUCGAAUCUUUGAACGCACAUUGCGCCCGCCAGUAUUCUGGCGGGCAUGCCUGUCCGAGCGUCAUUUCAACCCUCGAACCCCUCCGGGGGAUCGGCGUUGGGGAUCGGGACCCCUCACCGGGUGCCGGCCCUGAAAUACAGUGGCGGUCUCGCCGCAGCCUCUCCUGCGCAGUAGUUUGCACAACUCGCACCGGGAGCGCGGCGCGUCCACGUCCGUAAAACACCCAACUUCUGAAAUGUUGACCUCGGAUCAGGUAGGAAUACCCGCUGAACUUAAGCAUAUCAAUAGGCCCGGAG